RNAcentral lists this long non-coding RNA (218 nucleotides) under Anser brachyrhynchus (Pink-footed goose). RNAcentral describes it as "lncRNA (ENSABRG00000019485.1)". The record is from RNAcentral. Lineage: Eukaryota; Metazoa; Chordata; Aves; Anseriformes; Anatidae.
UCAUAUUUAUCAAAAGGCUUAAGGCACAACGUCAUGGUGAAAUUCUAAGGAGGCAAUCAUUGUAACCCCUGGGAGAGAAAGAAGAAAUAAUGGUUAAUCCACUACUGCACAGAGAGUCCUAAAUGCAGUUGUACAGCAGUGCUGAUAAAAGACCAAAACAGCAUCCUGUCAGAAUGAUUGCAGUUCGUUCUGGUGACAUUCCAUCUGGGAGUUACAAG